This 727-nucleotide long non-coding RNA is filed under the name Homo sapiens (human). RNAcentral describes it as "non-protein coding lnc-KDM5C-4:2". Lineage: Eukaryota; Metazoa; Chordata; Mammalia; Primates; Hominidae. The record is from RNAcentral.
GGAGGAGGGGGUGGUGACACGGUGGAGACACCGGCUAGGCCAGGGGGCCUGCCCUUGGGACAGGUCCAGACCCAUGGAGCCCCCCGGGAGGAGCAGCAGGUCCACAGCGUCUCAUACUCUACACCAGUAUUGCUGUCCUACUCAGGUCCUUGACUCCAUGAAGCUUACCCCCUCAGGCAGGCUGGCAGAGAGCAGGGAAGAGGAGGAGGAGGAGGAGACUGAGGAAGAGGAAGAGGAAGACGCUCACCAGUUCUGCUGUCCGGCCUCCGAGUGCAGUAGUCCCUCCUCUCGCCCCUGAAUUAAAGAGAGCUGGAGCCCUAGGUCCGACUAAAAUGUGGGAGAAGCAGAGCUUGGAGCUUGGAGCUUGGAACCUGGAUCCUCCCGUACCCGCACUCCCACUUCCCAGGCACCCUGGAGCCUGCCACUACUGGAGAGGUCUCCAAAUGACAUCCCAAGGACCUACCUCUGUCCUCUGUGAGCACAAACAGAGAUGCAGGGUGCCUAGGGCUCAGAGGACCAGACGGGGGCAGGACCCAGCCUGCCUAGUUCCCUGUCGUUUGUUCCCUUGCUGUGGCCAUUGCUGCCAUCUCCUCCACUGCUUGAAGGCCUCACCCCAUGCCCUCUGCCACUCCCAUAGUGCUCUGUAAAUAUUAUCAGGAGGAAAAGGCCUCUCAGAGUGCGUGUUGCUGUGUACAAAGGAAUUUCCAUCAAUAAAAGCUGAUCUCUU